Molecule: ribosomal RNA, 492 nt
Filed under: uncultured bacterium
Lineage: Bacteria
Description: partial 16S ribosomal RNA
Rfam family: Bacterial small subunit ribosomal RNA
Source: RNAcentral
AGUGAACGCUGGCGAUAGGCCUAACACAUGCAAGUCGAACGGCAGCACAGUAAGAGCUUGCUCUUGCGGGUGGCGAGUGGCGGACGGGUGAGGAAUACAUCGGAAUCUACUUUUUCGUGGGGGAUAACGUAGGGAAACUUACGCUAAUACCGCAUACGACCUACGGGUGAAAGCAGGGGAUCUUCGGACCUUGCGCGAUUGAAUGAGCCGAUGUCGGAUUAGCUAGUUGGCGGGGUAAAGGCCCACCAAGGCGACGAUCCGUAGCUGGUCUGAGAGGAUGAUCAGCCACACUGGAACUGAGACACGGUCCAGACUCCUACGGGAGGCAGCAGUGGGGAAUAUUGGACAAUGGGCGCAAGCCUGAUCCAGCCAUACCGCGUGGGUGAAGAAGGCCUUCGGGUUGUAAAGCCCUUUUGUUGGGAAAGAAGAGCAGCAGGUUAAUACCCCGCUGUUCUGACGGUACCCAAAGAAUAAGCACCGGCUAACUUCGUG